RNAcentral lists this ribosomal RNA (366 nucleotides) under Escherichia coli. RNAcentral's name for it is "bacterial SSU rRNA". It matches the Rfam family "Bacterial small subunit ribosomal RNA", at positions 1 to 363 of the family's 1533-position model. The record is from RNAcentral. Lineage: Bacteria; Pseudomonadati; Pseudomonadota; Gammaproteobacteria; Enterobacterales; Enterobacteriaceae.
AAAUUGAAGAGUUUGAUCAUGGCUCAGAUUGAACGCUGGCGGCAGGCCUAACACAUGCAAGUCGAACGGUAACAGGAAGAAGCUUGCUUCUUUGCUGACGAGUGGCGGACGGGUGAGUAAUGUCUGGGAAACUGCCUGAUGGAGGGGGAUAACUACUGGAAACGGUAGCUAAUACCGCAUAACGUCGCAAGACCAAAGAGGGGGACCUUCGGGCCUCUUGCCAUCGGAUGUGCCCAGAUGGGAUUAGCUAGUAGGUGGGGUAACGGCUCACCUAGGCGACGAUCCCUAGCUGGUCUGAGAGGAUGACCAGCCACACUGGAACUGAGACACGGUCCAGACUCCUACGGGAGGCAGCAGUGGGGAAUA